This 497-nucleotide ribosomal RNA is filed under the name uncultured bacterium. RNAcentral's name for it is "partial 16S ribosomal RNA". It matches the Rfam family "Bacterial small subunit ribosomal RNA", at positions 28 to 507 of the family's 1533-position model. The record is from RNAcentral.
GAUGAACGCUGGCGGCGUGCCUAAUACAUGCCAGUCGAGCGAACGGACGAGAAGCUUGCUUUUCUGAUGUUAGCGGCGGACGGGUGAGUAACACGUGGAUAACCUACCUAUAAUACUGGGAUAACUUCGGGAAACCGGAGCUAAUACCGGAUAAUAUUUUGAACCGCAUGGUUCAAAAGUGAAAGACGGUCUUGCUGUCACUUAUAGAUGGAUCCGCGCUGCAUUAGCUAGUUGGUAAGGUAACGGCUUACCAAGGCAACGAUGCAUAGCCGACCUGAGAGGGUGAUCGGCCACACUGGAACUGAGACACGGUCCAGACUCCUACGGGAGGCAGCAGUAGGGAAUCUUCCGCAAUGGGCGAAAGCCUGACGGAGCAACGCCGCGUGAGUGAUGAAGGUCUUCGGAUCGUAAAACUCUGUUAUUAGGGAAGAACAUAUGUGUAAGUAACUGUGCACAUCUUGACGGUACCUAAUCAGAAAGCCACGGCUAACUACGUG